This 380-nucleotide ribosomal RNA is filed under the name uncultured eukaryote. Its description in RNAcentral is "partial 18S ribosomal RNA". It matches the Rfam family "Eukaryotic small subunit ribosomal RNA", at positions 592 to 976 of the family's 1831-position model. The record is from RNAcentral.
CAAUAGCGUAUAUUAAAGUUGUUGCAGUUAAAAAGCUCGUAGUUGGAUUUGUGGCGUACGGUGUGUUCCGGGCACUUGUUGUCUGAGUAACCUGCUGUUGCCAUCCUUGGGUGGAACCUGUGUGGCAUUAGGUUGUCGUGCAGGGGAUGCCCAUCAUUUACUGUGAAAAAAUUAGAGUGUUCAAAGCAGGCUUAUGCCGUUGAAUAUAUUAGCAUGGAAUAAUGAGAUAGGACUUUUUUGCUAUUUUGUUGGUUUGCGCAAGAAGGUAAUGAUUAAUAGGGAUAGUUGGGGGUAUUCGUAUUCCAUUGUCAGAGGUGAAAUUCUUGGAUUUUUGGAAGACGAACUACUGCGAAAGCAUUUACCAAGGAUGUUUUCAUUAA